This 303-nucleotide ribosomal RNA is filed under the name uncultured bacterium. Its description in RNAcentral is "bacterial SSU rRNA". It matches the Rfam family "Bacterial small subunit ribosomal RNA", at positions 30 to 330 of the family's 1533-position model. The record is from RNAcentral.
AUUGAACGCUGGCGGCGUGCUUAACACAUGCAAGUCGAUCGGUAACAGGUGUAGCAAUACAUGCUGACGAGAGGCGGACGGGUGAGUAAUGCUUGGGAAUCUGCCUAUUAGGUGGGGGACAACCCAGGGAAACUCGGGCUAAUACCGCAUACGCUCUACGGAGGAAAGACCGGGACCGGCAAGGCCUGGCGCUAAUAGAUGAGCCCAAGUCGGAUUAGCUAGUUGGUAGGGAACGGCCUACCAAGGCGACAAUCCGUAGCUGGCCUGAGAGGACGACCAGCCACACCGGAACUGAGACACGGU